Non-coding RNA from Triticum aestivum (bread wheat), 125 nucleotides. Lineage: Eukaryota; Viridiplantae; Streptophyta; Magnoliopsida; Poales; Poaceae. The record is from Rfam.
UUAAUACUCCCUCCGUCCGGAAUUAUUUGUCGCAUAAAUGGAUAAAAAUGAAUGUAUCUAAAAUUAAAAUAUGUCUAGAUACAUCAAUUUUCCUAAUAAGUAAUUUUCAACGGAGGGAGUAUAUC